Molecule: ribosomal RNA, 253 nt
Filed under: uncultured bacterium
Lineage: Bacteria
Description: partial 16S ribosomal RNA
Rfam family: Bacterial small subunit ribosomal RNA
Source: RNAcentral
UACAGAGGCCACGAGCGUUAGGCGGAAUCACUGGGCUUAAAGCGUGUGUAGGUGGAUGGGUAAGUACCUUGUGAAAUCCCACGGCUCAACCGUGGAACUGCUUGGUAUACUGCCUGUCUUGAGGCACUCAGGGGCGAGCGGAACAAAUGGUGGAGCGGUGAAAUGCGUAGAUAUCAUUUGGAACGCCAAUGGUGAAGACAGCUCGCUGGGGGUGUACUGACACUGAGACACGAAAGCCAGGGGAGCAAACAGG